This 564-nucleotide ribosomal RNA is filed under the name uncultured bacterium. Its description in RNAcentral is "bacterial SSU rRNA". It matches the Rfam family "Bacterial small subunit ribosomal RNA", at positions 338 to 916 of the family's 1533-position model. The record is from RNAcentral.
CCUACGGGAGGCAGCAGUGGGGAAUCUUGCACAAUGGGCGAAAGCCUGAUGCAGCAACGCCGCGUGCGGGAAGAAGGCCCUAGGGUUGUAAACCGCUUUCAGUAGGGAAGAAAAUGACGGUACCUACAGAAGAAGGUGCGGCCAACUACGUGCCAGCAGCCGCGGUGACACGUAGGCACCAAGCGUUAUCCGGAUUUAUUGGGCGUAAAGAGCUCGUAGGCGGUUCGGUAAGUCGGGUGUGAAAACUCUGGGCUCAACCCAGAGAGGCCACCCGAUACUGCUGUGACUAGAGUGCGGUAGGGGAGCGGGGAAUUCCUGGUGUAGCGGUGAAAUGCGCAGAUAUCAGGAGGAACACCAGCGGCGAAGGCGCCGCUCUGGGCCGUAACUGACGCUGAGGAGCGAAAGCAUGGGUAGCAAACAGGAUUAGAUACCCUGGUAGUCCAUGCCGUAAACGUUGGGCACUAGGUGUGGGUCUCAACCAACGAGAUCCGCGCCGUCGCUAACGCAUUAAGUGCCCCGCCUGGGGAGUACGGUCGCAAGACUAAAACUUAAAGGAAUUGACGG